Molecule: ribosomal RNA, 253 nt
Filed under: uncultured bacterium
Lineage: Bacteria
Description: partial 16S ribosomal RNA
Rfam family: Bacterial small subunit ribosomal RNA
Source: RNAcentral
UACGUAGGUGGCAAGUGUUGUCCGGAAUUAUUGGGCGUAAAGCGCGCGCAGGCGGUCUCUUAAGUCUGAUGUGAAAUCCCGUGGCUUAACCACGGGCGGUCAUUGGAAACUGGGGGACUUGAGUGCAGAAGAGAAGAGCGGAAUUCCACGUGUAGCGGUGAAAUGCGUAGAGAUGUGGAGGAACACCAGUGGCGAAGGCGGCUCUUUGGUCUGUAACUGACGCUGAGGCGCGAAAGCGUGGGGAGCGAACAGG